This is a long non-coding RNA of Aedes albopictus (Asian tiger mosquito), 535 nucleotides long. RefSeq lists it as uncharacterized. The transcript is spliced from 3 exons. The record is from RefSeq and is a predicted model, not a curated record. Lineage: Eukaryota; Metazoa; Arthropoda; Insecta; Diptera; Culicidae.
GAGAAAGCUUGGAACAUCAACUACAGGCUCUCUCCGGGAAUGUACGAGAUUUUCCUGAAUGCAGAAGGUACAUAUUAUUUGGAGCUAAUUUGUCGCAAGUCUCCUAUAGGAACAUGCAUGAUGUUGAACAUUGCUGCUGAAGGUGAACGCGCAAUAAGAACCACAUGCUGGUUGGAAAUGGAUUAGUAUAUACCCAAACAAAUAGGUGAACAGGACGACUACCCGAGAAUGAUGAAUGACGCUGUACAUGGAUGGUCAACCCAACAUUUACCUGCUUUGACGUUGUUAUCAUCUGAACUAUGAGUGAAGACAUGUAUGGAAAAUAUAUAAUCAUAAUUGAACAAAUGUUUUAAACAGUGAGGAGAUCUAGGAACAUGUAGAAGUAAAAAUCAUAUUUGUAAUUUUAUUAGAAAGAAGGAGAGAUGUAGUAUUGUGUAACAGAUUGAGUCGUAGUAGGCUGCGUCUAAGGGACUGUCAGAUAUGAUGCGUAAAUAAAGUCAUUGUUCAUUAAUACCCCGAACUGUAAAGUAUACUU